CAGAGGGAGAAGCGGGCUCACCGCUGAGCAGAGAGCCCAAUGAGGGGCUCAAUCCCUGACCCUGAAAUCAUGACCCCAGCAGAAGGCAGAUGCUUAACUGACUGAGCCACCCAGGUGCCGCUGUGAUUAUGUUUUAAAGGGCCCUUUUCUUGGAGACAUGCAUCCUGAAAUACAGAAGAAAUAACCCAAUGCCUGAGAUGUGCUUCAAAAAAACAAAGACAGGAGGGGGCAAGUGGGUUGUGGGUAAUUGAUGGUCAGAGCUGUGUACUGGGCACACAGGGUUCACUGUACUAUUCUGUGGACUGCUACCGCACAUUCAAAAUUCUUUUUAAUUCAAAAUCAUAGAAAGGGACCGGGUAAGGUCUGAUUUCCUACUCCCACUGUCAGCACAGUCCCAGAUUUCUCCCCCUGGACCAACCCCACAAUGUGAGGAGCCUUACAUCUGAAUCAUCCCUGCUUCCCACAAAAACUGCGGCAGGAGAGGUUUCAGGAUAGACAAAUGCUUUAAUGACAGUCCCAAUGGCAGCUUCACACUCCUCAAUGGCUCAGUGACUUGCGACUGUCGUGCAGGUGGUGAAGGACGAUCUGGAUGCUGGAAAGUGUGCUCAAGUGCCAGAUCCAGCAGGGCUUGUGCUUGCAUUUGAUGUUGUUCGGCUGAUACUCGUUUCCCUGCACUUUUCUCCAGUUCUGUUGUGUGGUGGGGAGUCCUGAGCUGUGGGGGAGCCCCAGCUAGACCUGGAGCUGGAGCCACCUGACAGGCCUAACUGGAGACCUCAGGAUCUGACCAAGUGUUUACAGUGGUUUUUAAUUUUAUUCAGUCAGUCAUAUCUGUAGAUAUUUCCACUUAUAAUUUAGGGUUCUGUGUCUUGCUUAGAAAGGUUAUUUGUUCCAAGCUUCAUCAUGAAAAUAUUCUCCAAUCUUUUCUUCUAGCUUAUUUAUUUAUUUAUUUAUUUUGCGUUUUUGUUGUUGUUACUGUUGGUUUUGUUCAUUUCUUUAUGUCUAGAUCCUUAAUCCAUCCAGAAUUCAUUUUCGUGGACGAUGUGAAGAAUACAUCUUCCUAGAGAAUUUUAUCAUGUUUGGCUGCUACUACAAGUGAGAUAUUUUCCCCAGUGCAUUUUCAGAGUUGUUAAUGCUGGCCUAUGGACUACAUGCUUACUCUGAAGAUUGAAUUUCAUCAUCUCUCACUGUCUCAUCUCAAUAAGGACUAGAUGUUUGUGUUGAAGGAAGAUCCUCUCAGACUGCUCAGCAUGCCAGCUAUGUAGCUAUUAAGAAUUUUCGCCAGGAGUCCAGAAUGUCAGCAACUGCUGUGGCACUGAAGAAGGACCCCCCACUGUUCCUUCCCCUCCCCCAGAAGGAGCCCCCAGGAGAGAAGACGAAAGCCCUGGAGCAGAAAGGGAAGGCCCUGCUUGACAACACCGAGUGGCUCAUCAGGAAAUCAGUCUCCCAGUGGUUCCCCUGCCUUCCACACGGUGGGAGCCCAUGGCAUGGCCCCAGCCCCCGGAGUGGCAGGAGAGAAAAUCACCCAGUUUCAGUGUGACUGAACCCCACGCCUGGGCCCUCCCCCUCAUGCCAUCCUGCCCACUGUGCAGCCGGUUUCACUGGUGAGGUGACCGGCCAGGCUCCCCACAAAGGGUUAACCUGCAGGCUGUCCUCCUGGGCCCUUGCUUACCUGCAGUCCUGACUUCUAGUCACUGGCACGUAAUUCUUUGGUUUGACAACUGCGCCUGAGCGUUCUAACCCCUGGCUGGCCCGGUGGAGUUUGUGUGACCACACUGAAAAGUGACUUCAGUGCUCGCGGUGGUAACUGGCGGGCACCACAGACUGUCCAUGUGGAGCUGGGACAGACUGAGCCAUUGGGACUCCGCAGCCCAGUUCUUUUCCUGUGGCUUCCUGCUGCUGCUGUGGCUGCUGUGCACCCUCGAGGAAGGCACCGGGCCCCAGGGCCCUCCUGGCUGAUAGGUUGUUGUGAGGAUCACAUGAGAAAUAGAUGUGAAAUGCUUCAAGGGCAACCGAUAGUCCUACCGACAACUGGCAUUGUGACGGACAGAAGCACAAGGAGAGUUUGAAUCCAUGUCACCAGCCCUAGUUACUUCACCAGAUUCCUGAAUCAACGGAGAAACAAGAAAAAGCUGGCAUAUCAAGCUCAAACCAUUACCCUUAUUUCGGAUACAUCUGUAUUAGCAAGUGUCACCAUAGGCAGGUAAACAACAUCAGGCCAAUUUACCCAGCCAGUCACAGGCAGCUCUGGGAAACCACAUUCCUCCCCAGCAGGGAAAACUUUGUCCCUAGAAAUGCAGAGUAUAAAACAUUCCCUGGGGGCAGUUUGUUCCCAAAAAAAAGAGAAGCGGGGACUGGUCCAUGCACUGUCAAACUUGGUAAGGUUUCCAAACGUACCAAUCAGCUCAGCUAUUUCACCUCCCCUGGGAAGGAGUAUGUGAAGGGCUGGAGGGAGGGCAGGAAUGUUGCACCAACAGAGCUCCUCCCACCUGGAAGAAUGCACACCAGAAGCACCCUCUUGAGAUGUGAGAGAGACUGUGGUCUGCUUCGUCUAUUUCCUGGCAAACAUGGUCAGAAGCACUGGACCAGUGCCUCACCUCACCACCAGCUGCCUGGGUACAGAGAAGCAGGAAGUGGGCACCCAUUUUUGUCUAGGCAGAUCUAACAGACACAAUCUGGCCACGGAGAUGGAUUCCUAAUCCCUGUCAGAUCGUCUCUGUUUGUAAGGCAAGGACUGGGUUUCUUUGAAUCAUUUUUUAAAUAGUUAACAUAGCUGAGCUAUAAACCCAUAAAGGAAAGGACUCGAUAAUAUGACUGUCUCUGCAGUUGGCCAGCCCAUUCUAGAUACCUGACAAGGACUAAAAGAAUUAAGGAACGGGUGACACAACACAAGAGGAAGCACACUCAAUACACGUUUUAGAGGGGACAGUUUGACCUUCAUCUGUCCUAUUCACCUUGAUCAAUGACCCCUCCUUACUUCUUUCAGCCAGGUUCAGACAUCGAACCUGUUUCCAUGUCAUCAGCAGUCUCUGCUAAUAGUGAAAAUCCUUUGAGGACUUCCCACCUAUGAAAAUAAAUUCUUGUCAUAACAAACAAAAAGGCAAUUUGGAGGAGAGAGAGAUUUCAAAAUUCUUUAAGCCAACAUAAGAUUUUUUUUUUAAAGCACUUCACUUGAUGAGCUCUCAGUCCAAUGCAUAGCAGUGAAUUUGUGUACAUACAUGAUAAAGCCCCUCGAUGUCAAUGAGGGGGCACCAUUAAUAUCCAGGUAUGUGAUUGGGGUCCUUUUCAUAUAGAAUAGGAUAAAUGGUUCCUAAAUACUUGUGAUAUGCUGAAUUGUAUCCCCCGAAUUCAUAAGUCGAAGUCCUAACCUCAAUGUAUGAAUUACCUCAGAAAGUAAUAGUAUUUGGAGAUAAGUUUUAAAAGAGGUGAUUAAGGUAAAAUGAGGCCAUUAGGAUGAGCUCUAAUCUAAUAUGGUGUCCUUAGAAGAGGAAAUUUGGACACACAGACAUCAGACACGUUCACUCACAGAGGAGGGCCAUGUGAGGACACAGCAAGAAGGUACUCACAUGCAAGUUAGGGAGAGAGGCUUCAGGAAAAACCAAACCUGUUCACAUCUUAACCUCCAGAACUGUGAGAAAAUGAAUUUCUGUUGCUGAAGCCACCUAGUGUGGGGUAUUUUGUUAUGGCAGCCCUAGCAAACUUAUAUAACAUUUACUGCAGAAGUCUUCGUCAUGGUGUCACACAAAGAUGUGUUUGGGCAACACAUCCAUAUACUCACCGGGCGCUGGGUAACAAGGAUUGAUAGAAAGUGCAACUGACAGAUAACACAAGUGAUUGAGUUAUACUAGAAGGAAGCAAUUGGCAAAACUUUAGAAGUCUCAAGAAAUUGGACACUCCUGGACACCUGUAGCUAAAUUUUCUUACCCUUAAAAAUUAUUCUUUUAAAGAUUUUUUUAUCUUCUCUCCCACUUUGCCUGCCUCCCCCUCUUCCCUCUAUCAUCCGCACCCCUGCUGCCACCACACCUACACGCUCUCCAACGGGCUUUGACAUCCAUUUCUGCCUUUGCUUAAUAAAAAAUAAAGCAGCUA
This is a long non-coding RNA of Canis lupus familiaris (dog), 4086 nucleotides long. RefSeq lists it as uncharacterized. The record is from RefSeq and is a predicted model, not a curated record. NCBI's taxonomy places the organism in Eukaryota, Metazoa, Chordata, Mammalia, Carnivora, Canidae. The transcript has 3 exons.